Molecule: long non-coding RNA, 450 nt
Filed under: Elaeis guineensis (African oil palm)
Lineage: Eukaryota; Viridiplantae; Streptophyta; Magnoliopsida; Arecales; Arecaceae
Description: long non-coding RNA (EGUI_LNC037303)
Source: RNAcentral
GUCAUUCUCUCUCUCUCUCUCGUGUUCUCUCUCUCUCCCUCCCAUCCCAGGGCAGGGGAUCUCCCCAGGGCAUAGAGGAAUCAAGAGGAGAGAGUGGCACGAUUGGGGUGAUUGGGCAAUGGUGGCACGAUUGGGGUGGCUGGAAGGUGGUGGCACAGCCAAGAUGGCCAGUAGCUUGGUUGCACACAAGGAAGUUGAGAGAGAGAGAGAGAGGAAAGGUGUGUUUUCCCUUGCCACCUUGGUGAUGGCACCCAAGGCUAAAAGAAUGAUAAGGGGAGGAGAGAAUGGAAAUGGCAGCGGUAGUGCUUAAUUCAAUGGGGAAGAGGCCGACCAAUCUCAAAAUAGGGGAAGGAAAAACAAAGGGAUUGGUGGCUUUUGAGGAGGAGAAAUGGGUUUAGGGUGUAGCGGUGUUCGACUAUGGAAGCUUGGCAGCUACUAGAGGUGAGGAUG